AUUGGUCCAUUCCAGAUCAUUCAGAAGAUCAAUGACAAUGCCUAUGUUCUUGACCUCCCACAUGAAAUGAAAAUUUCCAAGACGUUUAAUGUGGCAGAUCUAUUUCAGUACUACCCUGCUGAUGGCAACUCGAGGACGAGUUCUUUACAAGUGGAAGGGAAUGACACGGAGCAACUAGCCUUGGAUUUUACGGCAAACUUGGACCGGGGCUAACUUUUGCAUUUUAAU
Molecule: long non-coding RNA, 228 nt
Filed under: Manihot esculenta (cassava)
Lineage: Eukaryota; Viridiplantae; Streptophyta; Magnoliopsida; Malpighiales; Euphorbiaceae
Description: long non-coding RNA (MESC_LNC003485)
Source: RNAcentral